This is a long non-coding RNA of Notolabrus celidotus (New Zealand spotty), 1150 nucleotides long. RefSeq lists it as uncharacterized. The record is from RefSeq and is a predicted model, not a curated record. The transcript is spliced from 3 exons. NCBI's taxonomy places the organism in Eukaryota, Metazoa, Chordata, Actinopteri, Labriformes, Labridae.
CCUAACAUAGCCAUAAAUCAGAGAAAUGACCCAGUUGUAGAUUACUUGCAGCAAAUAUGUACACGUUUAACAGAGCAGCUGCAGCGUCUCUAGUUGCUGUCCUGAGGUAAUAGUUUAACCUCUGUGUCAGCCACACAUCAGACACUGACAGCAGACAGAAAGAAACGCAUGUCUGCCACCAGGAGACAAUGCUAACUAUGAAAAUGUCUGUCUACUGUGUUGUCUGCCACUGCUUCAUAACAACUUUUACAUUUCCAUAAUAGCUGAAUGGACUAACCUCAAGUCACCUCAGACAUACUCAGGUAAAAUCAUCAACAAAAGCACAGAAAGGUCAAACCUUCCAACCGCCUUUGUUUUAACAAGGAAAGAACAUAUAUCCAAUGUUUAUUUGUGGAUGUACAUGAACAGUAUAAUUAAUAUUUUAACCCAAGUUAGAUUACAUUUUAGUUUCUUUUUAAAUUGGGCCACAGAGUUGUAUUACUCUUGUUGAUGUCCUAUUGGCUGAGGAAUAAGUAUUCCGACUGAUCGUGCUGGUCUAGGAAACCUCCAGCAGUCCAAGGACUUAAACUAUUUGUGUCACUGACCUGUCUGACUUGGAUGAUCUCUGAAGUAGUUCUGACUGUUGUAGGGUGCCUAACACACCAAGCACUUUCCUUUUAACUGGAAAUGUUAUUUUUUUAACCUAGAGUGAAGAUCUCAUUCUGCAGCCACAGGGUGAAAUGUUAGCUGUGGCCUGGCAGGAAUUUUAGAUAUUGUUUUGGCAGGCAGUUUAAUCUGUGGUAUCAUUUUUGAAAGAAAGUCAAAAAUAGUCAGCAGGUAUAUGCCCUGGUGUUUACAGUUGAAUGUUUCUACAUUUGGAAACUUCAGAGGAAUGUGCUGAGUGGCCAAUAAAAACGCUCACUCUCCUAACACACUGACAGUGGUAUUCCUCCAGUGCCUUUUCAUAGCUGCUGUGGGUGUAACCAAUGCAGUGAAUGACGUUAAUCCAGGAGGUUUCCAUCUGUGCAAAUCAUAGGCAGCAAACAGCACCAUGCUGUUUGCACUAGGAGGAACUACACAAGCUCUGCUGGGUAGGACUGAACCAACAUUUCUUCAACAUCCAUAUCCAUAUAAGUUUGAAAUACCAAAGACUGGUUAUCAAAUAUAUGUA